RNAcentral lists this ribosomal RNA (1385 nucleotides) under fermentation metagenome. Its description in RNAcentral is "bacterial LSU rRNA". It matches the Rfam family "Bacterial large subunit ribosomal RNA", at positions 1542 to 2925 of the family's 2925-position model. The record is from RNAcentral.
CCGUUUCCCAUAAGGCUGAGCUGUGAUGGCGAGCGAAAUAUAGUAGCGAAGUUCCUGAUUCCACACUGCCAAGAAAAGCCUCUAGCGAGGUGAGAGGUGCCCGUACCGCAAACCGACACAGGUAGGCGAGGAGAGAAUCCUAAGGUGAUCGAGAGAACUCUCGUUAAGGAACUCGGCAAAAUGACCCCGUAACUUCGGGAGAAGGGGUGCUCUGUUAGGGUGCAAGCCCGAGAGAGCCGCAGUGAAUAGGCCCAGGCGACUGUUUAGCAAAAACACAGGUCUCUGCGAAGCCGUAAGGCGAAGUAUAGGGGCUGACGCCUGCCCGGUGCUGGAAGGUUAAGAGGAGCGCUUAGCGUAAGCGAAGGUGCGAAUUGAAGCCCCAGUAAACGGCGGCCGUAACAAUAACGGUCCUAAGGUAGCGAAAUUCCUUGUCGGGUAAGUUCCGACCCGCACGAAAGGCGCAACGAUCUGGGCACUGUCUCAACGAGAGACUCGGUGAAAUUAUAGUACCUGUGAAGAUGCAGGUUACCCGCGACAGGACGGAAAGACCCCGUGGAGCUUUACUGCAGCCUGAUAUUGAAUGUUGGUACAGCUUGUACAGGAUAGGUAGGAGCCUUGGAAACCGGAGCGCCAGCUUCGGUGGAGGCAUCGGUGGGAUACUACCCUGGCUGUAUUGACCUUCUAACCCGCCGCCCUUAUCGGGCGGGGAGACAGUGUCAGGUGGGCAGUUUGACUGGGGCGGUCGCCUCCUAAAAGGUAACGGAGGCGCCCAAAGGUUCCCUCAGAAUGGUUGGAAAUCAUUCGCAGAGUGUAAAGGCACAAGGGAGCUUGACUGCGAGACCUACAAGUCGAGCAGGGACGAAAGUCGGGCUUAGUGAUCCGGUGGUUCCGCAUGGAAGGGCCAUCGCUCAACGGAUAAAAGCUACCCCGGGGAUAACAGGCUUAUCUCCCCCAAGAGUCCACAUCGACGGGGAGGUUUGGCACCUCGAUGUCGGCUCAUCGCAUCCUGGGGCUGUAGUCGGUCCCAAGGGUUGGGCUGUUCGCCCAUUAAAGCGGUACGCGAGCUGGGUUCAGAACGUCGUGAGACAGUUCGGUCCCUAUCCGUCGCGGGCGCAGGAAAUUUGAGAGGAGCUGUCCUUAGUACGAGAGGACCGGGAUGGACGCACCGCUGGUGUACCAGUUGUUCUGCCAAGGGCAUCGCUGGGUAGCUAUGUGCGGACGGGAUAAGUGCUGAAAGCAUCUAAGCAUGAAGCCCCCCUCAAGAUGAGAUUUCCCAUUCCGCAAGGAAGUAAGAUCCCUGAAAGAUGAUCAGGUUGAUAGGUCUGAGGUGGAAGUGUGGCGACACAUGGAGCUGACAGAUACUAAUCGAUCGAGGACUCUCCCGC